Molecule: long non-coding RNA, 1098 nt
Organism: Centropristis striata (black sea bass)
Lineage: Eukaryota; Metazoa; Chordata; Actinopteri; Perciformes; Serranidae
Exons: 3
Source: RefSeq, a predicted model, not a curated record
CAAGUCUGUACGUAGUGCUUUUUACUUCCUUUUGACCCCGGCCGCGACAGCGAGAAGGCAGCAAUCCGCUAAACAAGAGCGUUUAGCACUGUGCUCAAGUGGUUACACAGACGAACCGUCUGUCAUCUUGUGAGAGCUGAGAGUCCCCGACGGCGCUCAGCACUGGAACGAAGCGCAUCGGUCAGGUCUUUUGGAGACCCCUAGUCUUCAUAUCCAUUCUUUUGGAGAGGAUCCAGAGCCUUGGAUGAAGGAUUCGGGAUCAUUUGGUGAUUCAUAGAUGGCGAGCCUCCCAAAGAUCCUAAGGAAGCGGGAUUGACUCUUCGUCACUAACUACAAGUGGUGGUAGGGCCAGCCUGGUUGGCAGGAUUGCUACACACCCAAAAGAGUUAGCGUGUGACUCUGAUCACCCUAUUAGAGGAACAUUUGAAAGGAACACAGUAAAACAGUAACGGUACUAAGAAACACAAGACUCUUUAUUUUAAAGGCGCCAUUUUAUUUUGUUUGUUAUUUUCCAUACCAUUGUUCAUAUAAAUGUUGUAAACUAUUGUGAUACAGUACUCACUAAAAGAGUUUACUUUGCAAAUUGUUUCGUGGUUGGUGUUGUUCAUUGUUUGGCUGUUCAGGUCUAUGGUACAUGAGCUCUUUACGAACCUAGCCAUUCAGUGUAUUCACUAUAAGUGGGUUACACAAGCAUGAAACAAACAUCAAUUAUCACCUUCGGUGUGUAUUUAUUGCUGUUCCUAUCCCAAAACCCUGACAUCAGCGUAGAUGCUCUCUCCCUCAACUGAAUUUGCAUCUCUCCUUAAACUUCUGCCAGGUUUCCCUCUGAUAAAGUUUGGCACAGCAUAAACCAAAGAGUUUUCAUCUAUCUGUAGAAAUAAAUGGAAAAACUUUAUUAAAUGAGAGAUAUCAACAUAAAUGUUAAGUUAACAUCUUAUAUUGAAAAUGGCUCACUUGCUGACUUUGUUGAUCAUCAGUGGUUGUUGCAGCAUUUGUUUGCAGACCAGCAGCUGGAUUACAACAUGACAAGUAAGACAGUAAGAAAGGACAGGAUUUCAAAUUAUUUUGAAAAUGAAAGAUGGAUUGAUCAAGAAAGAC